This 414-nucleotide ribosomal RNA is filed under the name uncultured bacterium. RNAcentral's name for it is "bacterial SSU rRNA". It matches the Rfam family "Bacterial small subunit ribosomal RNA", at positions 94 to 504 of the family's 1533-position model. The record is from RNAcentral.
AGUGGCGAACGGGUGAGUAAUGUAUCGGAACGUGCCUAGUAGCGGGGGAUAACUACGCGAAAGCGUAGCUAAUACCGCAUACGCCCUACGGGGGAAAGCAGGGGAUCGCAAGACCUUGCACUAUUAGAGCGGCCGAUAUCGGAUUAGCUAGUUGGUGGGGUAACGGCUCACCAAGGCGACGAUCCGUAGCUGGUUUGAGAGGACGACCAGCCACACUGGGACUGAGACACGGCCCAGACUCCUACGGGAGGCAGCAGUGGGGAAUUUUGGACAAUGGGGGAAACCCUGAUCCAGCCAUCCCGCGUGUGCGAUGAAGGCCUUCGGGUUGUAAAGCACUUUUGGCAGGAAAGAAACGUCAUGGGUUAAUACCCCGUGAAACUGACGGUACCUGCAGAAUAAGCACCGGCUAACUAC